CCUGAGAAACCCAAAAGAUCGAAUGGGGAGAUUCAUCGUCAGCUCAUUUUGUAUAUAUGCGAGUUGUGAUAUGGGUUACUACUUGUAGUAUUGCCUGUACAUUCUUGUAUAUUUAUUUGCAGGAUGUUGUCGGCGUGCACUUCUCCCCUAGUAGGACGUCGCGACCCGUUGAGUGUCGGUCUACGGCCCAGGUGGGAGCUUUUGAUAAAUUUUAUUUAUUAGAAACCCYUGGUGUUUUCUGACUGGCAUUCGGCGGUACUCGUAUGGUAUUGAGCCGCUAUUAUAUGCGUCCUAUCCGUCGCAAGCGAGGUUAGUUACUGAUAGUGCGGACCUAGUGCCGUCGUUGGUGCUAAUCAGCUGUUGGUUGUAUGGAAUUCUAGGACUGGCUCGUUGAAAUACCGGUCAGCGAUGCUACUGCUUUGGGUACUUUCAGGACCCGUCUUGAAACACGGACCAAGGAGUCUAACAUGUACGCGAGUCAUUGGGAUUUUUAUAAAUUAAACCUAAAGGCGUAAUGAAAGUGAAGGUCGGCCUUGUGUCGAUUGAGGGAGGAUGAGCUAUGUUACGAUAUAGCUUCGCACUCCCGGGGCGUCUCAUUCUCAUUGCGAGAAGAGGCGCACCUAG
This 624-nucleotide ribosomal RNA is filed under the name Syntomernus sp. RDB-2000. RNAcentral's name for it is "eukaryotic LSU rRNA". It matches the Rfam family "Eukaryotic large subunit ribosomal RNA", at positions 386 to 798 of the family's 3401-position model. The record is from RNAcentral. Lineage: Eukaryota; Metazoa; Arthropoda; Insecta; Hymenoptera; Braconidae.